UACGGGGGGAGCAAGCGUUGUUCGGAUUUACUGGGCGUAAAGGGCGCGUAGGCGGUCGUGACAAGUCACUUGUGAAAUCUCCGGGCUUAACUCGGAACGGUCAAGUGAUACUGUCGGACUAGAGUACAGAAGGGGCAACUGGAAUUCUCGGUGUAGCGGUGAAAUGCGUAGAUAUCGAGAGGAACACCUGCGGCGAAGGCGAGUUGCUGGGCUGAUACUGACGCUGAGGCGCGAAAGCCAGGGGAGCGAACGGG
This 254-nucleotide ribosomal RNA is filed under the name uncultured bacterium. Its description in RNAcentral is "partial 16S ribosomal RNA". It matches the Rfam family "Bacterial small subunit ribosomal RNA", at positions 524 to 776 of the family's 1533-position model. The record is from RNAcentral.